Molecule: long non-coding RNA, 20951 nt
Filed under: Triticum aestivum (bread wheat)
Lineage: Eukaryota; Viridiplantae; Streptophyta; Magnoliopsida; Poales; Poaceae
Description: long non-coding RNA (TAES_LNC004803)
Source: RNAcentral
CUCCAUUAUGAAGGUUCGUAUCUGAAACUGACAUUGCUGGCUCAUAUGCAAUGAUAAAAUCCGGCUCAAUUAAUCUGAAGAAAAUUGGAAAAUGUAUAACAAAAUUAGCAGCGAAUUAAUUUUAACAAAAUUAACUGGGUCAUUUAACAUAUGAUCCACUUAUGGGUUUAAGCAGAGAACCUAUUUGGGUGCAAAACCUAUGAGGGUUCAACUACUAAAGGAGCGGCCGACAACGAUUAUAAAGAGUUACGAUCAGGUAAUACCUUCUCUCGGAGACGGUGCCGCCGAGUAGAUGGCGGCGGUUAGUGUGUCGCAAACUAUAAGUGCCGGUAUAGCGCGGUCGACGGCGCAAAGGAAAAACGGCGCGUUCACGCGAGGAGGAGGCGGCGAGAAGAACACUGACGUCCGACCCCUCAGAUCACGUUGGCGGUGGGCGGCGAGUGGUGGCCGCCGACUCCUGUAUUCUGUGGGCGACCGGCGUCUCCGAUCUGAUCUUGCAGCGGUCGUGCGAGGUGCGGACGGCCCGGGUGGUUAGAAUGCGGAGCUGUAAUCGCGGAAUUUAGGGAGGGGUGGGCCGCGUGAGUUAUGUGAGAUUUGGAUAAAUGAUAUAAAAAAAUAAGAAAAUCUUGUCAACUCGUUUAGGGGUUUAGGGUUAUUAGGGUUUAGGGGUUUAGGGGUUCAGGGUUUAGUGGGGGGGUUAGGGUUAUCAGGGUUCAGGGUUUAGGGUUUAGUGGGGGGGGUAGGGUUAUCAGGGUUUAGGGUUUAGUGUUGACAUGCAAGCCCGGAAAUGCGCGUGUCAGAGAUCGUACUUGCGUGUACAUGUACUAAUGAUCCCAAACUUUCUUAAUGGCAUCCCAUGACCACAUAGAGAAUGCAUGCAUAAUGGUUUCCAUGUGGGGCAAAAUUUUGAAUGUUGUUACGGUUUAGUGGGGGGGUUAGGGUUAUCAGGGUUUAGGGUUUAAGGGUUUUAGGGUCGACGGAACUAUGUUUGUCUUACAGUGGACGUAGCACACACACCGGACAUUGGUGGAGCGUUGGUCUACAAUGGAUUCCCUCCGGUAGCAUCGAUCCGGUCCGUUGACUGGCUCGGCCGACAAACUUCGUCCGACAUAGAGCAUGCGUCCAUCCACUGGACCGGAUCGAUGUUGGGUUGGUUUCAUACAGGUGAGGAACCCAGCUAGUGCUUUCGGGGUGUUGACAUGCUAGGCCGGAAAUGCGCGUGUCAGAGAUCGUACUUGCGUGUAUAAUCCCAAACUUUCCUCAUGGCAUCCCAUGACCCCAUAGAGAAUGCAUGCAUAAUGGUUUCCAUGUGGGGCAAAAUUUUGAAUGUUUUUAUGGUUUAGUGGGGGGGGGUCAGGGUUAUCAGUGUUUACGAUUUUAGGGUUGACGGAACUAUGUUUGUCUUACAGUGGACCUAUCACACACACCGGACAUAGGUCGAGCGUUGGUCUACAAUGGAAUCCCUCUGGUAGCAUCGAUCUGGUCCAUCGACUGGCUCGACCGACAUACUUCGUGCCACAUAGAGCAUGCAUCCAUCCACUGAACCGGAUCGAUAUUGGGUUGGUUUACAUGUACAUGUACAGGGACCGGAAAUGCGUGUGUCAGAGAUCGUACUUGCGUGUACAUGUACUAAUGAUCCCAAACUUUCAUCAUGGCAUCCCAUGACCCCAUAGAGAAUUCAUGCAUAAUGGUUUCCAUGUGGGGCAAAAUUUUGAAUGUUUUUACGGUUUUGUGUGUGUGGGGGGUGGUUAGGGUUCAGGGUACAUGCCACAUUGUUCACAUUGUCCAAUUAACACUUUGUAUAGAUUUUUUGGGUAAAAAAUGAACGAAAUAAUGCAACUAAUCUGAACGUAACGUUUGGCAUGUAUCAAACCAAGUAGCCACUAUUCCUCAAAAAAAACCAGUUAGCCACUAAUUGCGCCAAACAUAUCACGUAAUAAAUGGGUUGACAAUUAUUUCUUGAAAUUCGUGGAAGGAAUUUAUUGCUCUUCCUUUUAUUUGUCCUUUCCAAUAGAUUUCAAAUGAGCUUUUCCUUGGUCUGGUCAUACAAGGCAUUAAGCACACAUGACAUUGCUUAUACAGAAGCUGACUAAAAUAAUUUGUUAACAACUACUAACGACUGAUGAUCAACAAGUAAACAAAUCCCACAACAAUUAUUGAAAAAUAAAAUCCCGCGGCCAUCAGAUUUGCGUGCUUCUUCAGAUCGAUCAACUGCCUUAAGUUCUUGUUGAUCUUCUUCAAUUCCACCUUGAGUUCCGCAUCCGCCACCAUCGGAGGAACAUUGGCAUAGCCCUUAUUAUCCACCGCCGAUGGCAGAUCUACCUCUAGGGUUGCCCCGUGCCUCAAAUCAAUUAAGCCAUCCGUUUGAAGCCUCUCAACGUAUUCAUCCAGCCACUCAAAAUGCUUGCAUGUUUUCAGGUUUUGAAAAAGGGAAGGGAAACCCUAAAUACCAAUUCCGAGGAAAUAUAAAUAAAUCUGGGGUCAGAAUUCAUAGCAAAAAGACACAACAGAACAUAGAUUUAACCUUCCCCGCUUCUGGUUUGCUCUCGCAUUUCACAAAUUCCCGCCCAUGGUUUCCAUUCUUCUCCGAUAUGGUUGUCAAACGCUUCAGUGGCGCGAUGCGUGGGCAGUCGGGGCAUCUGGUCAUCGGUAGUGAACCAUACCGCGGCCAUGAUGACGGAGAGGCCGAACUGGACAUGGACAUCUCUCGUCUCUCACCGUCCGCCGGCGAUGUCAGGCUUCGUCGCCGGAGAAGAAUGACAAUUUGGUGGGGCAAGGGAAAGGGAGGCAAUGGUGGGCCGCAGGUUGGCACGGGCACGGCGAUGGCUCGGGCUUGUGUGAUAUGUGGUUGGACCCACGGUCAGUGCACAUGUUUUGGAAGCCCCCAAAAGAUCAUGCUCCUUAGAAAAAACUUGCAUCAAAGCGCAUUACUUCCAAAUAACUAAUUAACCCUACAAUCACGGAUAUAUACCUUCCCAUUCUACCGCAUAUCAACCCUAUCCUAACCACCCCCAUCUACCUUGUUUCUCCUCACAUAGCCAUCGUCGGGAUCGCGCCAUCGCUUCUGAAGCGACCACGCCGACGCCGGAUUAAAAAGGUCUCCUCCACAGCUCCUCCCAUCUUCGAUUGCAGUGCUGAUUAAUUUUUCCAUUCAUUCGACCAAGAAGUCAUUUCCGAAGAGAUUAGAAAAUACAGCCUUUGCCAUAGUUGAGUAGUUCUGGUGUAAUUGGAGUACAGGAUGUCAUGCAAGAGCUUUUUGAUUGAUAGUUUGUAGUAGUUGUUCGUACGAACUGGUUAUGAAUAUAUUUUCUCGGUGGUAUUGUUAGGAAUUAGUUGGAUGAGGUUGUGGAUACAGUUUUCAUACAAUGGGUAUAUGUGUUGUUGUAGGGACCAUGGUCUCAGAGGCGCAUAACAACCAUGCGGAGUACGACAAGUCUUUGCAUGAAGCGCGCCGGGAGAUCGACUUGAAGGUGCAAAAGGAUCGCGCUGAGGUAGAUAAGAAACUCAAAAAAGAACGUUCAUACGUGGACAGGAUGAUAAAGGAGGAGCGUGAGGAGUUUUCCCGUAAGAUGGCGAAGAUGCGUCUUGAGAUUGAAGAAAAGUAUAAGCGGGACUGUGAGGACAUGGAAAAAAAAGUUUUUCCUUGGCUACAAGGAAAUGCAUCAAACGUUGCAGAAGGGCCGGAAGCUUGUGGACAGUAUUAUACAGACAGAGCGAUUCAGGAUGGAUGCCUAUGUGUUGCAGGCACGUUCGGAUAUGGACAGCAAGCUGCUACAGGAGCGGUCGGACAUGGAUUAUAAGGCCAUGCUGGAGAAGGUCCGUUUGGAAGGACAUAUGUUAGAAGCCCGUGCGAUCUCACGGCCACCCCGACAACAUGUCUUCAAUUUUUCUCCCCCUGUAAGUAUCUCGCACCGAUUGUAUAUAUUAAGGACCUACGUAUUCUAUGAUACAAACAUCUUCAAUUUGUGGCAACCUUAUGUCGGCGAUUGUAUGUAGGCUAAGCAUCAUGAGACGGCAUAGUCGCCAUCCACUCGAGAAAGUGCGAUAGAGUCACCCGUUGAAUGCCACAUCACUCCACCCCAACAACAUAUCUUCAAUUCUCCCCUUGUAAGUACCUCCCAACGAUGACAUACCCAAGAUAUGGUAUGACCUUUUAAAAUUUGUGUGUAAACCCACUGUCGACGUUUCAUACGCAGGAUAAGAAACGUGUGAUGGCAGAGUCCCCAGUCACACCACAUGAAGGAUACAUUCCACAUAACAAGGUGAGAAGGUUUGAGAUGGCACAAUCCCCAGUCACUCCACAUGAAGGAUACAUUCCACAAAAGCAGGUAACAACACCGCAAUGUUGCUAUGCACAUAAAAAAUUAUGUUUGCCCCUUUACUCAUUUAAUGUAUUAACUCUGAUGUGAGAUACUAGGUGCUGGUCAUGGAAUUUUUUGUUGGUAGGGAUGAUGAGAUGUCACAUGUCCCGAGAGCAUACUUUGAUGAACACCCGGCAGAAGUCAAAAUUUUUGAACCCGCCAAAGUGACCUACGAUCUCAUUAUGAGUGAAAUGAGAGAUACUUUUGGUUGCAAACUGGGAGCAGAACUGUACUACUUCUUACCCGGGUCUGCGUGGAAGCUGCCAGAAGGAAUGUUCUUGAUUGCAGGACCAGAUGAUGUAGAAAAAAUGCUUUUUGAUCUGAAUGGCAGCAAGACAUGUCACCUGUACAUUGUGUACAAUAGAACUACGGGUUGUUUUCCCGAGGAUGACAUUGAUCCAGAGGUUCAAAUUUUACGUGUUACAUGCAUCUAGUUUAUGGCUACGUCAUUUUUAAGUUCUUCCUAAUACAAUUCCUAUGGUUUUCUACAGGAAGUGAGAAUCCAAGAAAUGGAGGGUCUUGCUAGAGAGUUGGCGGAGAAAGAACAAGAACAACUUCAGUUGUAUGGUUACAUUGAUGUUAAAGAGAAAAAGAUUGAAGCACAUGGGUCGUCGCCAAGCCCGACGCAAUCUCCAACGUCGCAACGCAAGAGGUCACUGGAUUUUGGCAGUGCAGAAGACCAUAUGGAGUAGGCUCAAUUGUUUUUCAACCAGUUUAAGCUUCAAACCAGGAUUAUUUUGUUGCAAACAAACAUUUUUUUUUCUGUUUCACACUAUGUUCGCAAUUAUGGUACAAUUUAUUCAUGAGACAGUUCUUUGAACAACAAUGCAUGUGUUUUAUGAUCAAUCAUACAGUUGUUUCUGAGUUGUUUGUGAGAUGGCAUUUCAUCUAAAGAAGUUUCCAUCUAUAAAACUUGUAAAAAAUCAUUGAUGUUGUCUUUGUUGAAACUGUUUUUUCGUGCCUUUCAUCUACACGUGUAAUCAUUAUAGCCUACAAAACCAUACAACAUCGCAAAACAAUUUCCAGUUGGCAUGGAUGCUUGUCAUGUUGGUACAAGGGUUUCAAAAAAAAUUUGGGUCCAUUUCAAGCAUGCCGAAAAAAUCCGUCUUCCUAGAUGGAACAUCCCCUGCUACCCGAACGGCUAAGUUGAAUGACACCAAUUUUUUCCAUCAAGCGCGCAAGCACACCCCUGUGGGCCGCGUGAAAUCUGAGCUAACCCCAAAACUUGCUGGUUUUGACGUCAAAUAAGAUAGAAAUAUCAAGGGAAGAAGAUAGAAAUAGCAUGCAAAACAUAGAUAACCAACAACAUAUCAAAUAGACGGGUAGAAAUCAUAACAUAGUUCGGAUAGAUAAAGUUCACGGUAGAACCAACAACAUGAUUUAAUAGAAAUAUUUAAAAGAUAAAAAACUUGCCCUAACACGCUAGGGCAAGACAAGCUGACGAGACCGGGCCUUCACCACCAUCUUCACUGCCCCUCCUCUCCAGUGCUCCUCUCCAUCCCGUCCUCGCCGAUGUAGUAGGGGAGGGUGUGCAUACCGUCGCGGGUGGGGAAGACGCAGUCGAGGUUUGUGAAGAUGUUGUGGGUUGUGAAUGCGAUGAAUUCGCAUCCACACCAAAACACCUUGCCGAGGAGGUAGUACGCAUCAAAUCUGUUGGUGAAGGUGACGGUGAGCCCUAUCGGCGGAGACCAGGAGUUUGGACGCACUUCAUCCAGUCGGAACAUCACCGGCGAGCCCGCCGGGAGGUGGGCGAAGCCCGCACGGAGGAACCACUGGGCAAAGCCCCUUGCACCCCUCCAGCGUAAGAAUGCCCACACGCGAAGCGUGCUCUCCACGACGACGCCGGCCGGAUACUGUCUCUCCGGCACGGUCGGUGGGAGCCGGUAGGUGGGGCCGUUGUACUACAUCCUCGCGGCUCGCUCAGAGAGUGCUCUGGGUUUGGGGAAGAAGAGAAGGGCGGCGCAAAUGGAUGUGUGCAAAAGGUGAUGGCUGGUGGUUUAAAUAGGGAAAGGGGAAGGGAAGGGAACCGACCGCGCUUACGUUCAAACUAGCCGCGUCGAACGAUCCAUGUGCCACUUUAAUUGCCACGUUGAAUAGAUGCGGGUGGAUCAAAAAAGUGUGAAACCAAGGCUUUAAUUGCCACGUUGAAUACAUGCGGGUGGAUCAAAAAAGUGUGAAACCAAGGUUUUAAUUGCCACGUUGAAUCGAAAAGUGUGAAAACAAGGUUUUAAUCGCCUCGCUCGCAUGCAUGCACGUCCGCCACCCGCACAUGCAAACCCACGUCGCCGCCCUUCCCAUGCAUGCAGGCCUCAGGCGCAGACAACGAGAUGGCCCAACGGUCCAUCCAGCGACCCAGCGGGUGAGGCUGGCGUGGGACGGCCCACCCGAAUUAGGCCCAAGCGAGCUUCACGCCGGGCACAUCCCAGGGGUGCAGGGAGUUUAGUCCCACCUCGCCGAGCGAGGGGAGCUAGCACCGGUUUAUAUAGCGGGCUGAGCUUUCCCUCUCAAGUUCCUUUCUAAAGCGGGCAGCACAUUGCCUAACCGUCUCCGUCCCUGCCCUGUGGGGCCUACUUGCUACCUGUUUUCACAAUCUGGCGGGCCUCUGCAUCCUGGCCCAAUAAAUGAUUGGGUUACUAGUCGUACGCAGGCCGUUGAAUUGUGAAAGCGGGCAAGUAGGCGGGUUUUUUUGUCUAUUUCAUUUUUUUCAUUUGUCACCAUUAUUUCCAUUGCAGCCUGUCCAUCAUGCUGCAUUUUGGCAAAAACAAGCUAGAGUUGUACACACCCUGAUUUAAUGCUCAAAAUGUCGGUCUAUACCUCAAGGGGACAUUGUAAAAUAAUUGUUUUUAAAAAUAUCUUUCAUAGACAUGUUGCACACAUGAUCUCUUGCACAAACAAUGCUAGGUUUCCAAGGUUUUGUAUUUUUUUGAAUUUUUUUGAAUUUAUAAUGCGUGACUGCUGAAAACAUCGGUCUAUGCCUCAAGGGGGCAUUGUAAAAUAAUGUUUUUCAAAAAUUUCUUUCAUAGACAUGUUUGGCACAUGUGUGUCACCAUGUACAAGAAAAUUUGGGUGAUUUGGAGGCGGUGGAAAAAUUCACCUUUUUUCAAAAACUGGCUUAAGUGACCAAAUGGUCCCUCCGGAAUGCGGGCAUUUUUUCGACCACCUCCAAAUCACCUCAAUUUUGGCACACAUGAUCUCUUGCACAAACAAUGCUAGGUUUCCAAGGUUUUGUAUUUUUUUGAAUUUUUUAUGCCCUGGGCAAUGUCAGUUCGAAACACUCUAGAGAUACUUCCUCAACCAAUGAUGCGACCCAAGGACCUUCAUGNNNNNNNNNNNNNNNNNNNNNNNNNNNNNNNNNNNNNNNNNNNNNNNNNNNNNNNNNNNNNNNNNNNNNNNNNNNNNNNNNNNNNNNNNNNNNNNNNNNNNNNNNNNNNNNNNNNNNNNNNNNNNNNNNNNNNNNNNNNNNNNNNNNNNNNNNNNNNNNNNNNNNNNNNNNNNNNNNNNNNNNNNNNNNNNNNNNNNNNNNNNNNNNNNNNNNNNNNNNNNNNNNNNNNNNNNNNNNNNNNNNNNNNNNNNNNNNNNNNNNNNNNNNNNNNNNNNNNNNNNNNNNNNNNNNNNNNNNNNNNNNNNNNNNNNNNNNNNNNNNNNNNNNNNNNNNNNNNNNNNNNNNNNNNNNNNNNNNNNNNNNNNNNNNNNNNNNNNNNNNNNNNNNNNNNNNNNNNNNNNNNNNNNNNNNNNNNNNNNNNNNNNNNNNNNNNNNNNNNNNNNNNNNNNNNNNNNNNNNNNNNNNNNNNNNNNNNNNNNNNNNNNNNNNNNNNNNNNNNNNNNNNNNNNNNNNNNNNNNNNNNNNNNNNNNNNNNNNNNNNNNNNNNNNCCCUCUAGACUGACUGCUGAAAACAUCGGUCUAUGCCUCAAGGGGGCAUUGUAGAAUAAUGUUUUUCAAAAAUUUCUUUCAUAGACAUGUUUGGCACACGUGUGUCACCAUGUACAAGAAAAUUUGGGUGAUUUGGAGGCGGUGGAAAAAUUCACCUUUUUUCAAAAACUGGCUUAAGACCAAAUGGUCCCUCCGGAAUGCGGGCAUUUUUUCGACCACCUCCAAAUCACCUCAAUUUUGGCACACAUGGUCUCUUGCACAAACAAUGCUAGGUUUCCAAGGUUUUGUAUUUUUCUGAAUUUUUUUGAAUUUAUAAUGCCCUCUAGACUGACUGCUGAAAACAUCGGUCUAUGCCUCAAGAGGGCCCGGCUUCGCCUGUGAUGUCGCCGACGGGGAGCCCACGGGCGGCGCGCUUGAAGGCGCCGAUAACAUCGUUGAACCGCUUGCCCUUCCAAAAUCGGCGGCGGUUCUUACGGUUGAACCGCCCACCGAGGUGCGCGCUCAGCUCGGCGUUCGUCGCCGGCGGGCCCUGCGUGGGGUAGCCGUCGGCGGAGAUCGUCCACGGCCGCGGCACCUUCGCCGCCGGCGGCACGAACAGCCCGAACCGGAAGAGAUCUUCCGUCUGCCCUUGUGUCAGGCUCGAAGGCCAGACGCCGCCCGGUGCCGCGCCGUCGGAGUCUGAGUCGCUGGACGCCAUCCCGCGCAGAUCGGUGAAGAGAACGCGCGUGUGAAGAGGGAGAGGAGGGAUGGACGGGCGGUGUGACCAAACUCGCCGCGUAGGGCGGGUUUUAUAGUGCCGGGAAUUAAUGCGCGGCAGGUGAGGCGCCGUGGCGGGGCGGAGCGGGGCAUUAAACUGCGGCAGGGAGGCGCCGGGCCGCGGCAGCGGUGGCGUGCGGCAGGCGCGGGCACGGCAGUGCUGCCGUGCGGCAGCGGCGCGGUCUGGUGGCAAGCGAGGUGCUAUCGGCCGGCAGCGGCGCGAGAUGGGACGGGGCGGCGCGCGGAAGACGAGAUCCCAUGCAGCCGCGUUGACCGCGAGCUGCCGCGUUGAUCGCGGGCGAGUGGAUAGACCACGAUGGUAGGCGUGUGCGCAGUGGCCGGCCGGGUCGGUUGGACUAAUAAAUAUCUACGCGUGGGCAGGCGGGAUGACCAGACGAAAAAACUAAACUAAAAGUAAUCUAAACUAAAAAACAAAAAAAAAAGAAAAAAAAAGGAGAAGAGGGGUGGGGCUCACCUGCGGCAGGGGUGGGGCGCUCGCCGACGGAGGGGCGCUCAAGGACCUUCAUGCAAAAACCAGGCACCUGCAUGCAAGAGUCGGGGACCUGCAUGUGAAUAGUGAUUCAUCAAGGCCUUGACAGCUGCUGGCACAGCGGCUGCCGCCCGAUUUGCAUGCAGCGAAGAUGAACGUGCAUGGAGGUUUCUCAAAUAUUUCCAAGCACACCCCACUGGGCCCCGCUUAUUUAAAAAAUACAUCAGUCAUUAAUGAUCUCUAAAUGAAGAAUAUGCAUGAUGAUUAUGAAUAUGCAUGACAACCAUAGUAAGGGUGAAGAAUCAUAUUCAUCCUACAAUGAGGACCAACGCUUGCUAAAAUCACCUCGAUGAAGGUAUUUAAGCAGGUAAAGGAGCUGGUCGAGGGGCGAGGUGGGACUAUUUUUAGUUACACGAGAACAACGCGCGAGAUCGUACGUGACGUGGGCCGUCCGGAGCUGCAACCUCGGAUGGGCCGGUGUUUGGGUCGACGUAGGAAAACGGCCUGCCAUGCAUGAGCCAUGCAGACCGUGGGAUCGCGCGGGAGAUCCGUUUGGCGGCCGUGCGUGCGUGCAGAAAUACAUCACAAAAAUUAUUCUACUCGACAAUAACAAGUGCUCCAUGCUAGCCCUUAUUCCUGUUCGAAAUACAUCAUCAUUCUUAAAGUUGGACAUCAAAUGAUACACACAGAAAAUGGAAACGAAAGAUGUCGAACUAAUACAGUAACAUGGCAGUACAACCGCACUUCACUAAAUUACUGUCACGAUGAAAUAGAAUGUAAAGACCACGUCACACAAAGCUGAAUGGCACACGACUUUCUCUGGCUCAUCGUCGGUUCAUGCUGUAUGUAGACAUCACAGUUCAGCCUCAAGAUCCUACACAGAAGAAUAGAAUAAAUCACAUGGACAUCAAUUAUGAGUAAAACACAUGCAAAAAAUAAAUAUGAACAUAUUUCGUACCUCUAGCAAUUUAGCGCAUUUACGUGGAUUGUGACCAGGAUUCUUGCAAUAGCCACAGAUAUUCUGUGAUCUUGACUUCUUUGUCUUUGCCUGCAGCCUUUUCUUCGGUGCACCUCGGCCUGGCACAUGCACGGGAUCCAGAACCUUAUCAACUUUCUCCGAGUGCGGCAUCAACGGGCCAAACCUAAUGUUGUUAUGCUGAGCAUUAGUUGACUCCUUGCUGUCAGCUUGUUCAAAACUUGAUUGCUUGCCAUGAUGUUGUGCUUGCAAAAGCAUAAUUAGACGGUGAUAGUCCUCAUCAGAGUGGCAUGCCUUGAAACUUGCGGCGUGACUACAAUUCCGCAACUCGCGGUACCUCUGCAGGCUUACCGAAUAGUCAUACAUCUGGGUUUUUCUGGUAGGUGCGUAUGCACAUUUUGCAUUCAUAGUCCACCUAGUGGGAACGCAACAACUGGGCAGAAUUGUUUGUUUUAAAAUCCCCAAUAUGUAAAAAAUGUGGGAACAUGGUGUGCCUGCGCAUUCCAGCUUACGGCAAGAACAACUCACCCUGUGCAAAAGACCUCCUUGCUCUUCAAUGUGCACUCCAAACUUUUUAUCCAUUCUUUCCUGCUUGGACACAACAUAAGUGGAAUCUUCUGAUCCAUCUAGUAUCUCUCUGAUCUGACAUUUGCUGACAGCAUCUAUGCUCCAUAAGACCAUCUUAAAGACACUAGGUGUGAAAACUGUUGCGGCGUGUUUCUCAAGCGGCGAAGCAUUUUCCUCUGUAAAUGGAACGGACUGCAAGGCUUCAACGUCAUGGAGAGCUUCGUUAAUCCGUCGCGACGCAAGGCAACGCUCAUAGUGCUCUAGCAUUUCAAACAACGACAUCUUACCCUCAAGAUGCGUAUGUAGCACAGAGUUCAAGCUCUCACUCCUCUGAUUGCUGCUCAAUCCUAGGAAACAACGCCCCUCAAGAUAUGGAGCGCACCACAACUUUCUCAUUUGAUACAUCUGAUGCAGCCAAGACUCCUCACUGGUUACUUUAUUCUGUUGUAAGAAGUAUAUCCAUUCUAUCUCAUGCUCUUCAAUGGAAGAAGUAUCAUAAAUGAAAGAUCUGAAUUCCUCCUUUACGUCGUCAUCAUGCAGAUGGCGUACAAUGUUCUGCUGAAUGUGCCAUAUACAUAGUCUAUGGUUUGAGUCUGGCCAGACCACCCUGAUUGCUCUCUGCAUUGCAAGGUCCCCAUCUGUGAUCACAGAUAUCGGAUGCUUCUGUGCCAUGCAAUCAGAAAAGGUCCGCAACAUCCACUCGUAUGACUGGCUUGUUUCAUGAGAAAUUAUACCACAGCCAAAAAUGACAGUGCUCCGGUGGUGAUUCAACCCGACAAACGGCACGAAUGGCAGAUUGUAUUUGUUGGUUCUGUAUGUGCUAUCGAAAACAAUGACGUCUCCGAAAGCCUCGUAGUCAAGUCGCGAUUGACUAUCAGCCCAGAACAGUCCCUUCAGAUGGCCAUGCUCGUCUACCAAGUACUUGAAGAAAAAAUCCACAUCUCGCUCUCGCCUCGCCAUCAUGUGCAUGAUCACCGUAUUAGCAUCACCGGCACUGAUUGUCUCCUACUUAUUAGCAUGGCAGAAAUUAUAAAUGUCCCUCUUUAUGCAUCCAACCUUAUCAAAUCCACCAUAUUGAAAGCACAAAAUAUCCAUAAUAUGGUAUUUGCGGAUCCCACAUUUUUCCAUGUCCGCAAUGUCCGCUUUCUGCUCAUCGCUAAUUCGUCUGUGCGAACGCAGCAGACAAGAAAGAUCCCGUGGGGCUAGAGGAUGGCUGUGCUCAUCGAUGAAAUCCUUGACAAACCACCGACCGAUUUCCUCCUGUCUCGCAAUGACCAAUUUAGCAUUACACCCAACACGAGUUAAACUUCGUGGCCUCCUCUUUCUAUCUUCCAUCUUUCUUUUCAUGUGCUUCUCUUCGCGAAACCCUUGACGACUACACACAAUUUUCCUUAAAAUUAUGUAUUUGUUGGAUCCAUCCCACUCAACGUAGUUUUUCCUCACACUAAAACCUUUUUCAAGAGCAUAUUUGUUGUAGAAUUCAUAGCCUUCAGCCUCACUAUCAAACAUCUUGCUGACAACAUUUAGAUACUCGAACAUACUCUCAUCACUUGCAUACGCCAUGUCUUCCUGCAUAUCACAUGUGAGGGAAACCAAUCAUCAACAUCUUUCUGUUUAUCAAUGUUGCAGGUGUGAAAUAGCUCAUAGGCAAAGACAAGUGCAUGGAAAAGACUUUGCUCGUUUGACAUGUGAGGGAAACCAAUCAUCAACGCCCAACAAGUACUAUCCUAGCAUGGAUGAUGACUCUAAUAAACUGGAUUCAUACCUGGUACGCGCGAAGAGAUGGGAUCGUCCGCCGCCGUCGUCGCCGAUUCAGCCGGCGCAGAUCCGCCCUUCUUCUUCUUCGGUGACGGCGUGGGGGGGGGGCUGGGGUUGGUUGGGUGGAGGACGAGGACGAUGAAUUUAUUCCUCUCACCGGGCAGGUCGAGGACGGAGAAGGUCAGGAGCGGCGACGAAUAGAUCGGAGGAGGAUUCUGAUCUGGAUCGAGUAGACAUGGAUCUGGUCCUCAAGUGAUUGGUUCAAGAAAAGAUAUUUCCCCUGGACCAUUAUGCCCUUAUCGCAAUUAACAUAUUAAAUUUAAUCAAGUUUAAUUCCCCGCAAGAUCGGACGGCUAAUAAAAAUCAGACGUGAUCAGAGAUGUAAGUACUGCUAAGUACUCCGAGUACUAACCCAAUCACCGUAAAACAGCUCAUUAAAUUGAUGUUGGUCUAUAGUUCGGCUAGUAGUCUUCUCACGUGUUAUCAUUGCUAGCAAGGAUAAUCCAUCGAAGUGACCCGUGGUGCUUAGAGUUUCUUCUAUAAAAAUAUGCCUCUAAGGGCUAGUCUUGGAUGGUCUCGUUUUUUUUUAACAAUGACAAUCCAUCCUGCAGUAUCGUGUAUGCACGCCGCCGCCUCAUUUAGGGAUGCAGGCGGACGCGUACAUUAGAUCAUUACAACCAUGACAUAAUUAAUUGGUUGUGUCAAUACACCAUAGCAGGGAUUCCCUACAACGAAAUGGAGUAUAUUCUAAGUCAUGUCGUGGUACAACAAACCGCAAAUUGAACAUACGUUAAGCAAUGCUCUCUUUUGCCAAAUGAACCGCAGGGCAGCGGCGGCGGAAAGAAGUGGGUAAAAAUAGUGCAGGAGUGGAAGAUACUGCAGGACAGCUUGCCAGGUACGUGUGGCCUUCGCGUCUAACUUAUAUAUGUCUCAGUAUAUUUUACUAGCAAUGACUCAAUGGACGAAAUUGGCACAUUAAUCUAUAUAUGUAUGCAGACACAAUCUAUGUACGUGCGUUUGAGGACCGUAUGGACCUGCUCCGGGUGGCGAUGGUGGGCGCGAGCGGGACGCCUUACCAGGACGGGCUCUUUUUCUUCGACCUGCAGCUACCGUUGUCCUACCCGGACGUGCCACCGCAGGUGUACUACCACUCCUUCGGUAACCGUCUGAACCCAAACUUGUAUGCCUCUGGCACGGUGUGCCACAGCCUGCUCAACACUUUCGGCGGCGAGGGCACCGAGGUCUGGGUGCCAGGGACGUCGAGCCUCCUUCAGGUGGCCGUCUCCCUCCAGGCCCUCGUCCUCAACAACCAGCCCUACUACAACGAGGCCAACUCCGAGCACCUGGUCGGCACGCCACGGGGCCACCGCCACGCGUUGCCUUAUAACGAGAACGCCUUCUUGCUCACUCUUCGGACCAUGCUCCAUCUGUUGCGCCGACCGCCGCGGGGCUUUGAGGGGUUCAUCAGGGACCACUUCCGCCGAUGCGGGAGAUGCAUCCUCGCGACGUGUGAAGCGUACCUGCAGGGAUGCGUGCCCGCCGAUCAUGGGAGGAUGGAGUUGUCGUGCUCCACCGGCUUAAGGAUCGCGCUUGACAAUGUCUUGCCCAGGCUCACGGCAGCGUUCACACAGAUUGGUGACGAAGGGAGCUGCUGCUGAUGUAUUGUCACUACGAGCACAGAAACUCUGAACUGUGACCAGUAGACAACAACAGUUGGAUUGUGGUGUCAACUAUUGCUUCAGCAAAAAUAUUUACUAUUGAUUAUUGAACCUUUCAUAGCUUCGGUAGAAAUCUUUACUAUUGAACCAUUGUGCAGCAUGUGUUGAUCUAAACUAUGCAUAGGGCCGGUUCCAUUACCACUGAUAACGGCAUACCGUUCUAGCCAAAAGUAAAUGAAACGUAGAUCUAAACUAACUAGCUAGUACCAGUUAUUUCUUAUCCAGAGUUGUGUUUGGAUAGCUAUCAAGUCUAAACAAGAAACCAUUUGAAUCGACGUUAUGUUGAGGUUGUCAAUAAUACACCCACUUCCACAGAUUUCGAUGAAAUCUAUUCGGGAUUAUUUUUUUGAGUGAUUUUGCAUCAAUCAAGUUAGUGGCAUUGUAUACCAUACACAUGUAAUCUUGCUAAAGGAAGAUGGUCAUUUUGUUACGAAAGGAAUAGAUUCCACUUAAACAUGGUGCACCAUAUCAGUGGUCACCAAACCUGAAACAAAGUCUGGCGCAUCCGUCACCCAGAGGAUAAGGGCUCUAUAGCGCCUAAAGCUGCACAAAGUUUGUGAAAAUCAGGAAAUUCAAACAAAGAAAGGCAUGGGCUCUUUGCUUCACCGAAGAGGACGCCAAGCUCCGUAGUAUCAUAGUCUCACCCUUCCAGUGUCGUCGCCAUGGUCAAGCAGACUGACUAAAAGCACAAUGUGUUGUUCGAACCUCCUCCCAAAUGGGAUGCAUCCUUAAUGGCUUCGCGAUCAUCUCGGCCUGGAGGGGUACGCGCAUGUUGCAUCUUGCCAGCCGCCGCCGCCAAGAAGGCACCCCGUUCAUCACGCGCCACAAAAACCUCACCCACUCUUGUAUUAUGAGGGCCAAAAUUGCUUCACACGACAUUCUCCAGCUGAUCAGCAUAGUAUAAUCUAACACACAAGUUCGAUUAGAAGGACAACAAUAGGAGGUAUGUAAUCCUUGGCUUUAUCUUUUGUAUUGAUUGGAUCCAAUUUAUACAUGUUUCAGACUUAUUUCGUUGGUCCUACACUCAUUUUUUUUCGCAUCUACCUCAUACUAGAUAGAAAACACUAAUAUGUCCUGCUACUUACGAAUUAGGGAUGUUUUAAAAUAACAUUGAUUAGCUUUAGUGCGUAGAUUCCUGUCGUCUCAAUGAAGCGGUGAGGUUAGGGUUUCUCGUCAUGUGACGAUAUUUGGUGUCAGGUGCUUUAGAUCUAUGCAAGGGCUCAACGGUAACAACUGCGGCUCCAUGGCCCUGGUCCUUAGGGACACGUGCACUAAAACUUCCCAAUUGUCAUCGACAAGGUCGAGCUGGCUCCAGUACGGGAGCGGCAACAUCGGUGCGUAGGUGGCUUGUUCUGGUGGCAGUAGUGGUCGUUUGAUGAUAUCGGAAUCUCAAUAUAAUUUUUAUUAUGUUUGAAUUAUUUAUACUUCCUGUGAACUUUAAUAAUAGAUCCGACCUUUUGAAAAGAAAACAUCGAUUAGCCUAUGUUUAGCCUUCUUUUUUUAUGGUAAUACGUGCCUCAUUUAUAUCAUAAGAAUCAUAGUACAAGUCACAUACACACCGAUCUGACAAAACUGAAAAGACAGCAGAACAACAGCCUUUGCAUAAAGGAACAUCGGUUAAGAAAAAACUUACAAUCAAGACUGAAGAAUUCUGUAAGCUUGGUGGCCUAUUUUCGCCUUGGCGGGAUAAUAUGCUCCCUAUAAACGUGUAUUCGUAUCUGCAAAAAAAAUAUAAACGUGUAUUCGUAAAUAAAGGAAUAAAAAUAAUUAUUUACCCCCUCGAUACGUGCUUCGAUACCUCCCCCGGUACGUUUGCGAUACGGUCCAGCCCAGCUAAUAGACAUAACCCUAGCCCGGCCCCGAUGAUCCCCUGAAUCGAUCCUUCCUCUGGAUCCCGACCUGGCUCCACACCCGGCGGCGGCGGUAGGCCGGCGGCGAAUCCAGCAGUGCUGCGUUCCCCUUCCUUACAGACUGCCCGGCUCCCCCUCAGCCCCUCUCACACAGGCACGCAACAGCCAGUAGCAGCCCGUUCCCCGGCGGCAGCUCGCCGGCUGAGCUCGUCACUUCAAAGGCGGCAGCGGCAGCAGCAGACCAAGGUACACGCUCGGCCUCUAACUCCUCAACUCCAGUGCCUAGUACCGAACCGUAGCUCACAGCUCAGUUUCUUUUUCUCAUCUCCUCUGAUCCUCUCCUCUAGAUGCCCCUGCUCAACCUAGGGCGCCACUGUGUUUGUGUAGCCAUGUUACAAUUCUAGAGCAAAAUAGAAAAAAUGUAUCCCCUACUGAUCUUUUUGUUGGCAAAUGUAGGUACUUGAUUGAUGGAGCCAGAUUUAACUUUGGAUGAAGUAGCAGAACAGAACAGAUCAGCACCUGACGCAGAGGAUGAAGAUGCUUUCGUCGUCGAGGAGAUUGGGGAUUCUUCAGAUGACCGACAGGCAGAGCCGACUGUGAUGUUGGAACCCAAGAAGGGGAUGAUGUUCAGUAGCGAGGAUGAUGCUGUCAGGUUCUACAAAGCUUAUGCCAGAAAAAAGGGCUUUGGUGUGAUAAGAAGGACGACCAGACACGGUGAAGACAAAAUGCUUACUUAUUUCACGCUUGCUUGUAACAGACAAGGGAAGGCUCAGUACUCAGCAAAGAACUCAUUUAAGCCUAAUCCGUCAACAAGGAUGCAAUGCCCAGCCAAGAGUAAUUUCUCUCGUCGUGGGGAAAAUUUCUGUAUCACGACUGUUACGCUUGAACACAAUCAUCCUAUAAGUCCAAGCAAAGCCAGAUUUCUGAGAUGCCAUAAGAAAGUGGACUUGCAUUCCAAGAGAAGGCUAGAAUUGAAUGAUCAAGCAGGAGCAUGUAUGAACAAGAAUUUUGGUUCUCCUGUUAUGGAAGCUGGAAAUCUUGAGUUUGGUGAAAAGGAAUACACUAACUAUUUGCAAGAGAAAAGAAGCCUGAAACUUGGUGCUGGAGAUGCACAUGCUCUUUAUCAAUAUUUUCUCCAUAUGCAGUCAAAAGAUCCAGCUUUUUUCCAUGUUAUGGAUGUGGCCGAGGAUGGACGACUGAGAAAUGUCUUUUGGGCAGAUGCAAGAAGUAGGGCUGCAUACGAGUCUUAUUGGGAUGUCAUCACAUUUGAUACUACAUACCUUACAAACAAGUAUACAAUACCGCUCGCUACUUUUGUUGGCGUAAAUCAUCAUGGAGAAUCUGUUCUAUUAGGUUGUGGUCUUCUGUCCAAUGAAGACACCGAGACUUUUGUUUGGCUGUUUAAAUCUUGGCUAUGUUGUAUGUCAUGCAAACCACCAAAUGCUAUAAUCACCGACCAAUGCAAACCAAUGCAGAAUGCUAUUGAAGAAGUUUUCCCUCAAGCUCGUCAUAGAUGGUGUACAUGUCAUAUCAUGAAGAAGAUUCCUGAAAAGCUUAAUGGGUAUGAAAAAAUUAAAUCUACAUUGUCAAAUGUGGUGUAUGAUUCCUUGACCAAACAUGGUUUUGACAAAACUUGGGUGGAGAUGAUCAAUAAAUAUGAUCUUCAGGACAAUGAAUGGCUUGCUGAAUUAUAUGAUAAUAAAAAUCGAUGGGUACCAGCAUAUGUAAAAGAUACUUUCUGGGCAGGAAUGUCUUCAACAAAAAGGAGUGAGAGUGUAAAUGCUUUCUUUGAUGGCUAUGUCAAUGCUAGAACAACUCUGAAGCAAUUUGUGGAGCAGUAUGAAAAUGCACUAAGAGACAAGGUAGAGAAAGAAAACAAGGCUGAUUCUAAGUCAUUCCAACAGCAAAUUCCAUGCAUUACUCACUAUGACUUUGAGAGACAAUUUCAAGCAGCAUAUACUACUGCAAAGUUUAAAGAGUUUCAAGAUCAAUUAAGAGGUAAAAUCUAUUGCUAUCCAACUCAUCUGAACAGAGAAGGAUCAAUUUUUACAUUUGGAGUCAGAGAGGACAGCAAGAUUUUUUGUGAAGGAGAGGAUGGCAAAGGAAAAGAGAAAAGGGUUAUUUUAGAGUUCAUUGUCCUGUUCAACCAAGGGGAAUGUGAUGUGCAGUGUAUGUGUAGGCUCUUUGAAUUUCGAGGCAUCUUGUGUAGCCACAUCAUUUCCGUGCUUGCUCUCAUGGAGAUCACAGAUGUACCUUCUAGGUAUAUAUUGCAGCGAUGGAGAAAGGAUAUUAAGCGCAAACACACAUUUAUUAGAUGCUCCUAUGAUGAUAUGAUUGAUACACAAGUUGUGCAGCGUUAUGAUAAUUUGUGCAAGCGUUCCCGCGAACUGGCAGAGAAUGGUGCAGAGUCUGAUGCAUUGCAUGACUUGGUGAUGGAUGGCCUUAAUGAAUUACAAAGUAAGAUUGACGCGUACCGUGCUAGGUAGGAAGUUUAGGAGAAGGAUCCAACUUCAAAGCAUGAAGAUACGAUGAAAAAGAAAAAAAAGGAAAAAUUGUACUCAGUCCAAUCCCUUUUCACAGUGUAGGUCGUCCUCCUUCAAAGAGAAAGGAAUCGAAAGUGGAUCAAGUGGUCAAAAAAUUGAGAGCAAAGAAGCAGCAGGUACCAACAAAUACAAAUGAAAUGCCAAGUCAAUAGAGGAGAAAGGUAUCUAAAUUUUAGUUAUCCAAAAAGAUCUUCCUGUUGUAACUUACUAAAGUGUAAGAACCAUCUCUUGGCAGAAACAGAACAGCAAAUCAAAAAAUGGGCAAGACGCCAAUCUAGAGAGUUCACAACAAAUGGAUGUAAUAUUUCAUUCAGAUACUCUAUGAGAAACACCAAUCAGUACCGCCAAAAUUCUGCAUGCAAAGGCCAGGCUAGCAUACCACACGGUUAAUGGUUAAUUAACUCAUGAAACAAAACAAAAUAAAAUAAAACCUUGACCUUAUAGUGCUAGUCUGAGUUGAGUAUCAACCUUCUAAAUCCCUGAAAUAGGGACCCUUGCUUACCCUGAUCAAUCCUGACUUGUACCUCUUCAGCGCAGGCACAUCAGGAAAAGGGCCAUCCUCGCUAACAUACAUGUGAGAUCUUGAGUUCUACUAAUUUUCAGUCGACUGAUUUCUAAUUGGCACUAGGUCAAAUUUUCAUUCGUUUGAUCGGCGGUCGUGAAUCUCAGCGAGCGAUUAUCCUGUUGUACUGGUUGUGUGCGCGAUCGAAUUGGCAUUGGAUGUUUGUUUUAACGGGUUUUGUUUCCACAAAAAUAGACCCGGUUUGAGAGGGCAUGAGAGGAUGCCCUCACUACACUGCCUCCCCCCUCCUCUCCCUUCCCCAGCAGUCCUCCGUUGACCUGCAAGGGAGGGUCUGCCUCUAUUCCACUAGUUUUGAAUUUUAGCUCUGCUCCUUGAUUCAUCCCCUCCCCCCGGGUAGGUUCUGUCCUCCUUUUGUUGUGAUUCGAUUUUUAGCUUUUUUCUGUCUCCCACAGUUUCGAUUUGUCAUGGAAUUAAUGAGCUAUAGUUCAAUGAUUUUUUCAGAUCAAGGGUUUGUGUCAACAUUUGUGUUGUUUGGGGGUUGGAAGUGAUGGCGCUUUUUUUUUUGCUCAUUUCUUUGGGUUUCAGUAUCCAGUGCAAACUGGGAGCAAACUGCAAGUUAUCAGCUUCAUCCAGAGUAAAUGAAAAAACAAACUAGCUAGCUAUCUGCAUUCAUAUUAAAAAAAACUGUCUGCAUUCAAAUGCCAAGAGCCAUUAGCAGCAGCAGCCAACCCAACCAAUCCCAAUCAAAUCACACUAAAAAAUCGGAGUGCAAGCAAGCCCUAAAACAGUCAAGAAGUUUUUGCUUAGCCUUUUGAUUCAGUUUGGGUUGGUACCCUUCCUCCACCAGGUAGCGUCUGUUGUAGUCCAAUUUCUGUACCACAAGCACAUAGCUCUAGUCUAUCUUGAUCUGAUCAUUGAGAUGAUUUGUUUUUUACUGCUGAUGGAAUCAUUAUCAUUAAAUAAUUCUGAUUGAAGUAAAGUGCUCAUACCUUUCUAAAUAUACCAUCUGCUAAUGUGGUUGUUGUGAGCAGGACAAGGCUGGGAUGUACGGGGUGGUUUCUAUGUCAGUCCUGAUGCAAAGCUGCUAUUUGUGGUUCCGAUCCGUGGGUAAGGCACCACCUUAACAAUAUAUUAUUCUAUCUUCAUUGAUUUUUUUUCAAUUAAUGUCUUUUUUAUGUCCAUUUUUGAUACAUAAACAUCUGCAGGAACAGUCCAGCCAUGUUGGUGAUGAGUGGAGAUCACUACAUCAGCACAAAGUACUCCACUGCAAAGCAUGGCCGAAUGUACUUCCAAGUCUGGAUGGUUGAAAUUCACGAUGUAGACUAAUCUGGAGAUAGGGUUGCUCAUGCUCAUCUGAUUUUCAUGAUGAUGAAACUCUUGGCAUCGGUUUUGAACUUUUGAUGCCCUGUAGAUAGUCAGCACUAGUUGCCCAAGGCUUCAGACACGAUGUUUUGCCAUCAGUAGUAAGUUUCAGUCUAGGCAUCAUUAUAUGACCAGACACAAGUCUUCUUCAGUUUCUUUUCAAGUUUAUCAGUUGA